UAGGGAAUCUUCGGCAAUGGGGGCAACCCUGACCGAGCAACGCCGCGUGAGUGAAGAAGGUUUUCGGAUCGUAAAGCUCUGUUGUAAGAGAAGAACGUGUGUGAGAGUGGAAAGUUCACACAGUGACGGUAACUUACCAGAAAGGGACGGCUAACUACGUGCCAGCAGCCGCGGUAAUACGUAGGUCCCGAGCGUUGUCCGGAUUUAUUGGGCGUAAAGCGAGCGCAGGCGGUUUAAUAAGUCUGAAGUUAAAGGCAGUGACUUAACCAUUGUUCGCUUUGGAAACUGUUAAACUUGAGUGCAGAAGGGGAGAGUGGAAUUCCAUGUGUAGCGGUGAAAUGCGUAGAUAUAUGGAGGAACACCGGUGGCGAAAGCGGCUCUCUGGUCUGUAACUGACGCUGAGGCUCGAAAGCGUGGGGAGCAAACAGG
Molecule: ribosomal RNA, 429 nt
Filed under: bacterium
Lineage: Bacteria
Description: partial 16S ribosomal RNA
Rfam family: Bacterial small subunit ribosomal RNA
Source: RNAcentral